GUUUGGUGAUCCUCGGGACCUGCCGGAGCCGGAACCCUCUUACCAGCAUUUUAGAUCAGUUGCUUUUCAAUAAGAGUAAACAUAUGGCAGCCUCAGUUCGUCAUUCCAUUUGAUUCUGCAACAACACUCUCAUCAUAUCUCCGGUCGGAAACUGCAUCCCCGUCAAUGACUUCGUUAAAUUAGAAACCCUAACCCUAAAUUCGAUGUCAUGGUGACACAACUUUGACAUUUUAAGCGGGGUGUAAACAAGCCAAGCUACUCAAGAUGG
Molecule: long non-coding RNA, 268 nt
Filed under: Helianthus annuus (common sunflower)
Lineage: Eukaryota; Viridiplantae; Streptophyta; Magnoliopsida; Asterales; Asteraceae
Description: sRNA HanXRQr2_Chr12g0555461
Source: RNAcentral